CUGUUCGGCAGGGUAGCGUCGGCAGCCUACGUACAAGCAGCAGGAUUCAUCAGUGCCAAGUUGGACGUGGUACCCUGUACCGUCGGAAUCCCCAUCAAGGAAGAUUUCAUCGACAACGACUGCGACGGGCUACUGGACGAGGAAGUGCGAAAUGGCAAAGACGAUGAUGGC
Long non-coding RNA from Physella acuta, 171 nucleotides. RefSeq lists it as uncharacterized. The record is from RefSeq and is a predicted model, not a curated record. Lineage: Eukaryota; Metazoa; Mollusca; Gastropoda; Physidae.